AGUGCUGCCAUAAGCUCCUGUAGCGUGACAUCAUUUAUAAGAAUGAGGAAAUCACACAGUAAAUGAUGCAUUUGAAUUUUUUUUUCUCAGGAAAAAAAAAUGAGAUUUGAAAACAAAAUGGGUUUUGGAACCUGGCAAGGAAGAGAUUGCUUCUCUACUCAAAAACCUUACACAUUUAAGAUGAUAUUCUCAGGUUGUGACGAUGAUAUUCUCAGCUUGUGACAUCAUAAUGUAGCAUCUGAAGCUUGCAGACAAGAGAGUGAGGAGGAGAGGAGUACUUUGCAGGCUAUCUCAUCUCAUCCACAAAGUGGAGGUCAGCGGUUCUAAAGAUGCUUUGUUGCUCUCUAAAUUUCACUACCCCUUUCAACACCUGAGUCACUGAGUCAACCAUAUCCAAACUACUCUACUGGACUCCUCAGUACCUCUGCACCAAUCCUACAUCCUUCCAUCUGGGACCAAGAGCAAGCCAAUAAUGCAAAUGUUAUGCCAGAUUCUGGAUCUGAUAAGCUUCUUACAACAUCUGUCUCUUUAAGUUCUCGGGAGACAAAUUCACUGAUUCAGUCUUGUCUACGUGCGGCAAAUGGAUGGAAGAAUCUGCUCCGUGCCAACAGCAGUGAUAGAUCACUUUGUGAGAGAAAGAAACACUCAAAUACAUAAAACUGGCAACACA
Coturnix japonica (Japanese quail) is the source of this 670-nucleotide non-coding RNA. NCBI's taxonomy places the organism in Eukaryota, Metazoa, Chordata, Aves, Galliformes, Phasianidae. The record is from RefSeq and is a predicted model, not a curated record.